This 204-nucleotide long non-coding RNA is filed under the name Capsicum annuum. Its description in RNAcentral is "long non-coding RNA (CANN_LNC007462)". The record is from RNAcentral. Lineage: Eukaryota; Viridiplantae; Streptophyta; Magnoliopsida; Solanales; Solanaceae.
ACUGACUGUGUUCAUAAUCCAGGAUAAAGAAUCACAUUAUAUGUCUCCCCUUGCUCUUGAAGUUCCUCCAUAUAUGAGUCCUUAUUGCAGGAUCCAGUGAAAAAACCAAACUUCCUUUUUCCUAUGAGUGCUAUGCGCAUUGAGCGACUCCAGAAGUUGUAAUUUUCUGAACUAGUGAGAUUGAUGGGGACGAGUACAACAUUA